UCGACCUGAGCUCAGGCAAGAUUACCCGCUGAACUUAAGCAUAUCAAUAAGCGGAGGAA
RNAcentral lists this ribosomal RNA (59 nucleotides) under Chlorella sorokiniana. Its description in RNAcentral is "partial 28S ribosomal RNA". It matches the Rfam family "Eukaryotic large subunit ribosomal RNA", at positions 1 to 58 of the family's 3401-position model. The record is from RNAcentral. RNAcentral also lists the same sequence under 5 other names. Lineage: Eukaryota; Viridiplantae; Chlorophyta; Trebouxiophyceae; Chlorellales; Chlorellaceae.